Small nucleolar RNA from Grammomys surdaster, 128 nucleotides. RefSeq annotates it as small nucleolar RNA SNORA17. Lineage: Eukaryota; Metazoa; Chordata; Mammalia; Rodentia; Muridae. The transcript has a single exon. The record is from RefSeq and is a predicted model, not a curated record.
CCUGCCCUAUAGAUGUUGUGGAUGUGGCUGCUGUGUCACGUGUGCAUCAGUAGGUGGCAGAGAGGAGAAGGCUAUGUCUGCAUAGUGUUCUCACCUAUGAACAUCUGAAUGAUCAGUAGCCUAACAUU